This 63-nucleotide non-coding RNA is filed under the name Hyphomicrobiales bacterium. RNAcentral's name for it is "Rhizobiales bacterium Fluoride sequence". It matches the Rfam family "Fluoride riboswitch aptamer (crcB RNA motif)". Lineage: Bacteria; Pseudomonadati; Pseudomonadota; Alphaproteobacteria; Hyphomicrobiales. The record is from RNAcentral.
AGGACAACAGGGGAUGGAGUCCCCCUCUGAACUGCCGAAGAGGCUGAUGACUCCUGCCGCGAC